Molecule: ribosomal RNA, 110 nt
Filed under: Spinacia oleracea (spinach)
Lineage: Eukaryota; Viridiplantae; Streptophyta; Magnoliopsida; Caryophyllales; Amaranthaceae
Description: 5.8S ribosomal RNA
Source: RNAcentral
UUCUUGCAUCGCUUUACGCUAUGAACCACACUUAACGUUUUAGGGCACUUGGUAGCUCAGAAACUUGCGUUCAACGUGGGCUUCGGAAGACCGGCUCCCGUGCGGACGGA